UCGAGCGGAUGAGUGGAGCUUGCUCCAUGAUUCAGCGGCGGACGGGUGAGUAAUGCCUAGGAAUCUGCCUGGUAGUGGGGGACAACGUUUCGAAAGGAACGCUAAUACCGCAUACGUCCUACGGGAGAAAGCAGGGGACCUUCGGGCCUUGCGCUAUCAGAUGAGCCUAGGUCGGAUUAGCUAGUAGGUGAGGUAAUGGCUCACCUAGGCGACGAUCCGUAACUGGUCUGAGAGGAUGAUCAGUCACACUGGAACUGAGACACGGUCCAGACUCCUACGGGAGGCAGCAGUGGGGAAUAUUGGACAAUGGGCGAAAGCCUGAUCCAGCCAUGCCGCGUGUGUGAAGAAGGUCUUCGGAUUGUAAAGCACUUUAAGUUGGGAGGAAGGGCAGUAAGUUAAUACCUUGCUGUUUUGACGUUACCAACAGAAUAAGCACCGGCUAACUUCGUGCCAGCAGCCGCGGUAAUACGAAGGGUGCAAGCGUUAAUCGGAAUUACUGGGCGUAAAGCGCGCGUAGGUGGUUCAGCAAGUUGGAGGUGAAAUCCCCGGGCUCAACCUGGGAACUGCCUCCAAAACUACUGAGCUAGAGUACGGUAGAGGGUAGUGGAAUUUCCUGU
Molecule: ribosomal RNA, 617 nt
Filed under: Aquipseudomonas alcaligenes
Lineage: Bacteria; Pseudomonadati; Pseudomonadota; Gammaproteobacteria; Pseudomonadales; Pseudomonadaceae
Description: bacterial SSU rRNA
Rfam family: Bacterial small subunit ribosomal RNA
Source: RNAcentral